RNAcentral lists this ribosomal RNA (434 nucleotides) under uncultured Ruminococcus sp. Its description in RNAcentral is "bacterial SSU rRNA". It matches the Rfam family "Bacterial small subunit ribosomal RNA", at positions 341 to 792 of the family's 1533-position model. Lineage: Bacteria; Bacillati; Bacillota; Clostridia; Eubacteriales; Oscillospiraceae. The record is from RNAcentral.
ACGGAAGGCAGCAGUGGGGAAUAUUGCACAAUGGGCGCAAGCCUGAUGCAGCGAUGCCGCGUGAGGGAAGAAGGUUUUCGGAUUGUAAACCUCUGUCAUCGGGGACGAUAAUGACUGUACCCGAGAAGGAAGCUCCGGCUAACUACGUGCCAGCAGCCGCGGUAAUACGUAGGGAGCGAGCGUUAUCCGGAAUUACUGGGUGUAAAGGGAGUGUAGGCGGGUCUGUAAGUCUGAUGUGAAAUAUACCGGCUCAACUGGUAGACUGCAUUUGAAACUACGGUUCUUGAGUGAAGUAGAGGUAAGCGGAAUUCCUAGUGUAGCGGUGAAAUGCGUAGAUAUUAGGAGGAGCAUCAGUGGCGAAGGCGGCUUACUGGGCGUUAACUGACGCUGAGGCUCGAAAGCGUGGGGAGCAAACAGGAUUAGAUACCCUGGUA